UACGUAGGGGGCAAGCGUUGUCCGGAUUUAUUGGGCGUAAAGAGCGUGUAGGCGGUUAGGUAGGUCCGAUGUGAAAACUCGAGGCUCAACCUCGAGACGCCGAUGGAAACCAUCUGACUAGAGUCCGGAAGAGGAGAGUGGAAUUCCUGGUGUAGCGGUGAAAUGCGCAGAUAUCAGGAAGAACACCCGUGGCUAAGGCGGCUCUCUAGUACGUGACUGACGCUGAGACGCGAAAGCGUGGGGAGCGAACAGG
This 253-nucleotide ribosomal RNA is filed under the name uncultured bacterium. RNAcentral describes it as "partial 16S ribosomal RNA". It matches the Rfam family "Bacterial small subunit ribosomal RNA", at positions 524 to 776 of the family's 1533-position model. The record is from RNAcentral.